UACGGAGGGUGCGAGCGUUGUCCGGAAUCAUUGGGCGUAAAGGGCGCGUAGGUGGCCUGCUAAGCGUGCGGUGAAAGUCGGGGGCUCAACCCCCGAUCGGCCGUGCGAACUGGGAGGCUUGAGCACUGUAGAGGCAGGCGGAAUUCCGGGUGUAGCGGUGGAAUGCGUAGAGAUCCGGAAGAACACCGGUGGCGAAGGCGGCUAAUCUGGCCUACACGAACUGACGAUGCAGGCACGAAAAGCGUGGGGGAGCGAACAGG
This 260-nucleotide ribosomal RNA is filed under the name uncultured bacterium. RNAcentral describes it as "partial 16S ribosomal RNA". It matches the Rfam family "Bacterial small subunit ribosomal RNA", at positions 524 to 776 of the family's 1533-position model. The record is from RNAcentral.